This 173-nucleotide ribosomal RNA is filed under the name Lasiodiplodia theobromae. RNAcentral's name for it is "5.8S ribosomal RNA". The stretch from base 3 to 156 matches the Rfam family "5.8S ribosomal RNA". From Rfam's summary of the family: 5.8S ribosomal RNA (5.8S rRNA) is a component of the large subunit of the eukaryotic ribosome. It is transcribed by RNA polymerase I as part of the 45S precursor that also contains 18S and 28S rRNA. Functionally, it is thought that 5.8S rRNA may be involved in ribosome translocation. The record is from RNAcentral. Lineage: Eukaryota; Fungi; Ascomycota; Dothideomycetes; Botryosphaeriales; Botryosphaeriaceae.
AAAACUUUCAACAACGGAUCUCUUGGUUCUGGCAUCGAUGAAGAACGCAGCGAAAUGCGAUAAGUAAUGUGAAUUGCAGAAUUCAGUGAAUCAUCGAAUCUUUGAACGCACAUUGCGCCCCUUGGUAUUCCGGGGGGCAUGCCUGUUCGAGCGUCAUUACAACCCUCAAGCUC